Molecule: transfer RNA, 71 nt
Filed under: Elusimicrobiota bacterium
Lineage: Bacteria; Pseudomonadati; Elusimicrobiota
Description: Elusimicrobia bacterium (groundwater metagenome) tRNA-Gln
Rfam family: tRNA
About the family: Transfer RNA (tRNA) molecules are approximately 80 nucleotides in length. Their secondary structure includes four short double-helical elements and three loops (D, anti-codon, and T loops).
Source: RNAcentral
UCCCAGGUGGUGAAACGGUAUCACACCGGACUUUGAAUCCGAGAUUCCUGGUUCGAGCCCAGGCCUGGGAA